UCCUGCAAACAUAGGUUAAAGCCCUGUUUCUAUCA
Molecule: transfer RNA, 35 nt
Filed under: Bavayia insularis
Lineage: Eukaryota; Metazoa; Chordata; Lepidosauria; Squamata; Diplodactylidae
Description: partial tRNA-Tyr
Source: RNAcentral